Molecule: ribosomal RNA, 479 nt
Filed under: uncultured bacterium
Lineage: Bacteria
Description: partial 16S ribosomal RNA
Rfam family: Bacterial small subunit ribosomal RNA
Source: RNAcentral
AUGAACGCUAGCGGCAGGCCUAACACAUGCAAGUCGCGGGGGAAGUUACUUUCGGGUAACUGAGCCCGGCGUACGGGUGCGUAACGCGUAUACAAUCUGCCUUUCACUGGGGGAUAGCCCGAAGAAAUUUGGAUUAAUACCCCAUAGUAUAGUAGUGUGGCAUCACACAACUAUUAAAGCUUAGGUGGUGAAAGAUGAGUAUGCGUUCUAUUAGCUAGUUGGAGAGGUAACGGCUCCCCAAGGCUAUGAUAGAUAGGGGUUCUGAGAGGGAUGUCCCCCACACUGGUACUGAGAUACGGACCAGACUCCUACGGGAGGCAGCAGUGAGGAAUAUUGGACAAUGGUCGGAAGACUGAUCCAGCCAUGCCGCGUGCAGGAUGAAGGUCUUAUGGAUUGUAAACUGCUUUUGUAAGGGAAGAAUAAGGACUACGUGUAGUUUGAUGACGGUACCUUAUGAAUAAGCAUCGGCUAACUCCGUG